GCUUACGGCCACACGGCCUGAGUAUGCCUGAUCUCGUCCGAUCUCGGAAGCUAAGCAGGGUCGGUCCUGGUUAGUACUUUGAUGGGAGACCGCCUGGGAAUACCAGGUGCUGUAAGCU
Molecule: ribosomal RNA, 118 nt
Filed under: Oncorhynchus mykiss (rainbow trout)
Lineage: Eukaryota; Metazoa; Chordata; Actinopteri; Salmoniformes; Salmonidae
Source: RNAcentral